Molecule: long non-coding RNA, 357 nt
Organism: Hordeum vulgare subsp. vulgare (domesticated barley)
Lineage: Eukaryota; Viridiplantae; Streptophyta; Magnoliopsida; Poales; Poaceae
Exons: 3
Source: RefSeq, a predicted model, not a curated record
CAAUUAUGUUCUUAGAGGUUUGGCUAAAUUCCAAGCACAUAGAUAUGUGUUGUUCAACUGCUUAGAUGUCAACCUAUUCCUUCGAGCUCACGCUGAUGAGCUCAAUAGCGAGCGUGAUGUCUCCUCAAACACAGUCGAGUCCAUCCAGCAUGUUAAGUUCAACGACUGGUUCAAAGCUCAUAUGAUUAAAUUGGAGAAAGAAAAUGGUAUUGGCAGUAUUAACAAUGAUGUUAGAUGGCUAGCACGUGGCCCGGUUGAUGCAGCAAAAAGGUAUCGUGCUUACAACUCAAGAGGAUAUCGGUUUCGGGCUAAACGCUUAGACAGGGUGAGUCAAAAUAGUGGAGUAAUGGUACGUGC